RNAcentral lists this ribosomal RNA (253 nucleotides) under uncultured bacterium. RNAcentral describes it as "partial 16S ribosomal RNA". It matches the Rfam family "Bacterial small subunit ribosomal RNA", at positions 524 to 776 of the family's 1533-position model. The record is from RNAcentral.
UACGAAGGGGGCUAGCGUUGUUCGGAAUUACUGGGCGUAAAGCGCGCGCAGGCGGUCUUCCAAGUCAGUGGUGAAAGCCCGGAGCUCAACUCCGGAACUGCCAUUGAAACUGUUGGACUUGAGUACGAGAGAGGUGAGUGGAACUGCGAGUGUAGAGGUGAAAUUCGUAGAUAUUCGCAAGAACACCAGUGGCGAAGGCGGCUCACUGGCCCGAUACUGACGCUGAGGCACGAAAGCGUGGGGAGCAAACAGG